GUGGGGAAUUUUGGACAAUGGGCGAAAGCCUGAUCCAGCCAUGCCGCGUGCAGGAUGAAGGCCUUCGGGUUGUAAACUGCUUUUGUACGGAACGAAAAGACUCUGGUUAAUACCUGGGGUCCAUGACGGUACCGUAAGAAUAAGCACCGGCUAACUACGUGCCAGCAGCCGCGGUAAUACGUAGGGUGCAAGCGUUAAUCGGAAUUACUGGGCGUAAAGCGUGCGCAGGCGGUUAUAUAAGACAGAUGUGAAAACCCCGGGCUCAACCUGGGAACUGCAUUUGUGACUGUAUAGCUAGAGUACGGUAGAGGGGGAUGGAAUUCCGCGUGUAGCAGUGAAAUGCGUAGAUAUGCGGAGGAACACCGAUGGCGAAGGCAAUCCCCUGGACCUGUACUGACGCUCAUGCACGAAAGCGUGGGGAGCAAACAGGAUUAGAAACCCGUGUAGUCC
This 450-nucleotide ribosomal RNA is filed under the name uncultured bacterium. RNAcentral describes it as "bacterial SSU rRNA". It matches the Rfam family "Bacterial small subunit ribosomal RNA", at positions 354 to 796 of the family's 1533-position model. The record is from RNAcentral.